GGGUCGGCAUGGCAUCUCCACCUCCUCGCGGUC
RNAcentral lists this unclassified non-coding RNA (33 nucleotides) under synthetic construct. The record is from RNAcentral.